Molecule: ribosomal RNA, 432 nt
Filed under: uncultured bacterium
Lineage: Bacteria
Description: bacterial SSU rRNA
Rfam family: Bacterial small subunit ribosomal RNA
Source: RNAcentral
UGGAGGCAGCAGUGGGGAAUUUUGCGCAAUGGGCGAAAGCCUGACGCAGCAACGCCGCGUGGGGGAUGAAGGCCUUCGGGUCGUAAACCUCUUUCAGCAGGGACGAAACAAGACUGUACCUGCAGAAGAAGCCCCGGCUAAAUACGUGCCAGCAGCCGCGGUAAUACGUAUGGGGCAAGCGUUAUCCGGAUUCAUUGGGCGUAAAGAGCGCGUAGGCGGCUUGGUAAGUCAGAUGUGAAAACUGGGGGCUCAACCCGCAGCCUGCAUCUGAAACUGUCAGGCUUGAGUCUGGUAGAGGAAAGUGGAAUUCCCAGUGUAGCGGUGAAAUGCGCAGAUAUUGGGAGGAACACCAGUGGCGAAGGCGGCUUUCUGGGCCACGACUGACGCUGAGGCGCGAAAGCUAGGGGAGCAAACAGGAUUAGAUACCCCGGU